RNAcentral lists this ribosomal RNA (301 nucleotides) under uncultured bacterium. RNAcentral describes it as "partial 16S ribosomal RNA". It matches the Rfam family "Bacterial small subunit ribosomal RNA", at positions 509 to 807 of the family's 1533-position model. The record is from RNAcentral.
CAGUCGCCGCGGUAAAACGUAGGUGGCAAGCGUUGUCCGGAAUUAUUGGGCGUAAAGGGCUCGCAGGCGGUUUCUUAAGUCCGAUGUGAAAGCCCCCGGCUCAACCGGGGAGGGUCAUUGGAAACUGGGAAACUUGAGUGCAGAAGAGGAGAGUGGAAUUCCACGUGUAGCGGUGAAAUGCGUAGAGAUGUGGAGGAACACCAGUGGCGAAGGCGACUCUCUGGUCUGUAACUGACGCUGAGGAGCGAAAGCGUGGGGAGCGAACAGGAUUAGAUACCCCAGUAGUCCCUGUCUCUUAUAC